Daucus carota subsp. sativus is the source of this 699-nucleotide RNA transcript. It is a transcript of the gene named ubiquitin-like protein 5, with no coding region annotated. The transcript is spliced from 3 exons. The record is from RefSeq and is a predicted model, not a curated record. Lineage: Eukaryota; Viridiplantae; Streptophyta; Magnoliopsida; Apiales; Apiaceae.
CCUGCUUUAUGUCUACGCUAGCGAGAGAAACAAAACAAACAUUCUAUCUUGCUAUCCACCCUUCUAGAGAGAGAGAGAGAUUCUAGAGAGAGACAGAGUCAAGAUGAUUGAGGUGGUGUUGAACGAUCGUCUUGGAAAGAAGGUGCGCGUAAAGUGCAACGAUGACGACACAAUUGGUGAUUUGAAGAAGCUUGUUGCUGCUCAGACUGGGACUCGUGCCGAGAAGAUUCGUAUUCAGAAGUGGUACAAUAUUUACAAGGAUCAUAUCACUCUUCGUGAUUAUGAGAUUCAUGAUGGCAUGGGUCUCGAGCUUUACUACAAUUAGGCCUGCCCAUCUUGUCGAUUGGGGAGGGGGGUUGUUUAUUUUUAUGUUUUUGGAAGGGAUGCCUUUGUGUUCUAUCGUAAGGUUUGGAGGUCCAACGCUACAUAAUGGCAGUCUGUUGACAGGUAAAGGCAGGGUGGCUCUUCUUGGCUAUUGAUGUGUUACUUGAUGAUCUCUAUGUUAUAUAUGUAUUGGUGCAGAUAAAAACUUUAUUUUACAAGGGCUUGUGAUGUUAACGUGGUUAUGUAUCCUGCUUUAAUAAGAAUUUGUCUCUUUAAACAUAAACUUGUGUUUACAUCUGUCUAUUUAUCAGUAAGCCACUUAAUAUUUUGUAUGUGACUCAUCAUUAUGACAUUAUCUAUGUCUUUAUUUCUGCA